Molecule: unclassified non-coding RNA, 92 nt
Organism: Gorilla gorilla gorilla (western lowland gorilla)
Lineage: Eukaryota; Metazoa; Chordata; Mammalia; Primates; Hominidae
Rfam family: Y RNA
About the family: Y RNAs are components of the Ro ribonucleoprotein particle (Ro RNP), in association with Ro60 and La proteins. The Y RNAs and Ro60 and La proteins are well conserved, but the function of the Ro RNP is not known.
Source: Ensembl
GGUAGGUCCAAGCGCAGUGGUGUUUACAAUUAAUUGCUCACAACCAGUUACAGAUUUCUUUUUCCUUCUCCACUGCCUCUGGUUUUUCUAAU